AUUGAACGCUGGCGGCAUGCUUUACACAUGCAAGUCGAACGGCAGCACGGGCUUCGGCCUGGUGGCGAGUGGCGAACGGGUGAGUAAUAUAUCGGAACGUACCCAGAAGUGGGGGAUAACGUAGCGAAAGUUACGCUAAUACCGCAUACGAUCUAUGGAUGAAAGCAGGGGACCGCAAGGCCUUGUGCUCCUGGAGCGGCCGAUAUCUGAUUAGCUAGUUGGUGAGGUAAAGGCUCACCAAGGCGACGAUCAGUAGCUGGUCUGAGAGGACGACCAGCCACACUGCAACUGAGACACGGUCCAGACUCCUACGGGAGGCAGCAGUGGGGAAUUUUGGACAAUGGGCGCAAGCCUGAUCCAGCAAUGCCGCGUGAGUGAAGAAGGCCUUCGGGUUGUAAAGCUCUUUUGUCAGGGAAGAAACGGUAGAGGCUAAUAUCCUUUGCUAAUGACGGUACCUGAAGAAUAAGCACCGGCUAACUACGUG
This 484-nucleotide ribosomal RNA is filed under the name uncultured bacterium. RNAcentral describes it as "partial 16S ribosomal RNA". It matches the Rfam family "Bacterial small subunit ribosomal RNA", at positions 30 to 507 of the family's 1533-position model. The record is from RNAcentral.